CGUGAGUAACCUGCCUGGAGUGGGGAAUAACAGCUGGAAACAGACUGCUAAUACCGCAUAAUGCAGUUGGGCCGCAUGGCUCUGACUGCCAAAGAUUUAUCGCUCUGGGAUGGACUCGCGUCUGAUUAGCUAGUUGGUGGGGGCAACGGCCCACCAAGGCGACGAUCAGUAGCCGGACUGAGAGGUUGGCCGGCCACAUUGGGACUGAGACACGGCCCAAACUCCUACGGAAGGCAGCAG
This 240-nucleotide ribosomal RNA is filed under the name uncultured bacterium. RNAcentral's name for it is "partial 16S ribosomal RNA". It matches the Rfam family "Bacterial small subunit ribosomal RNA", at positions 116 to 354 of the family's 1533-position model. The record is from RNAcentral.